GGGUGCGAUCAUACCAGUACCAGUACUAAUGCACCAGAUCUCAUCAAAUCUCUGCAGUUAAGCGAGCCAGGCGAAAGUAGCGCUAAGAUGGGUGACACUCUUCGGAAGUCUUCGGGUUGCACCCC
Arabis alpina (gray rockcress) is the source of this 125-nucleotide non-coding RNA. NCBI's taxonomy places the organism in Eukaryota, Viridiplantae, Streptophyta, Magnoliopsida, Brassicales, Brassicaceae. The record is from Rfam.